GAUGAACGCUGGCGGUGUGCCUAAUACAUGCAAGUCGAGCGAACAGACGAGGAGCUUACUCCUCUGACGUUAGCGGCGGACGGGUGAGUAACACGUGGAUAACCUACCUAUAAGACUGGGAUAACUUCGGGAAACCGGAGCUAAUACCGGAUAACAUGUUGAACCGCAUGGUUCAACAGUGAAAGACGGUCUUGCUGUCACUUAUAGAUGGAUCCGCGUCGCAUUAGCUAGUUGGUAAGGUAACGGCUUACCAAGGCAACGAUGCGUAGCCGACCUGAGAGGGUGAUCGGCCACACUGGAACUGAGACACGGUCCAGACUUCUACGGGAGGCAGCAGUAGGGAAUCUUCCGCAAUGGGCGAAAGCCUGACGGAGCAACGCCGCGUGAGUGAAGAAGGUCUUCGGAUCGUAAAACUCUGUUAUUAGGGAAGAACAAAUGUGUAAGUAACUAUGCACGUCUUGACGGUACCUAAUCAGAAAGCCACGGCUAACUACGUG
This 497-nucleotide ribosomal RNA is filed under the name uncultured bacterium. RNAcentral's name for it is "partial 16S ribosomal RNA". It matches the Rfam family "Bacterial small subunit ribosomal RNA", at positions 28 to 507 of the family's 1533-position model. The record is from RNAcentral.